GCNCCNANCGCUGUGGGNCACUCUCUCUANAAACAUGNCAAGUCGAACGAUGAAGCCCUUCGGGGUGGAUUAGUGGCGAACGGGUGAGUAACACGUGGGCAAUCUGCCCUUCACUCUGGGACAAGCCCUGGAAACGGGGUCUAAUACCGGAUAANACUCCUGCCUGCAUGGGCGGGGGUUGAAAGCUCCGGCGGUGAAGGAUGAGCCCGCGGCCUAUCAGCUUGUUGGUGGGGUAAUGGCCCACCAAGGCGACGACGGGUAGCCGGCCUGAGAGGGCGACCGGCCACACUGGGACUGAGACACGGCCCAGACUCCUACGGGAGGCAGCAGUGGGGAAUAUUGCACAAUGGGCGAAAGCCUGAUGCAGCGACGCCGCGUGAGGGAUGACGGCCUUCGGGUUGUAAACCUCUUUCAGCAGGGAAGAAGCGAAAGUGACGGUACCUGCAGAAGAAGCGCCGGCUAACUACGUGCCAGCAGCCGCGGUAAUACGUAGGGCGCAAGCGUUGUCCGGAAUUAUUGGGCGUAAAGAGCUCGUAGGCGGCUUGUCACGUCGGAUGUGAAAGCCCGAGGCUUAACCUCGGGUCUGCAUUCGAUACGGGCUAGCUAGAGUGUGGUAGGGGAGAUCGGAAUUCCUGGUGUAGCGGUGAAAUGCGCNNUUUCAGGAGGAACACCGGUGGCGAAGGCNGGAUCUNUNGGGCCAUUACUGACGCUGAGGAGCGAAAGCGUGGGGAACGAACAGGAUUAGAUACCCUGGUAGUNCACGCCGUAAACGUUGGAACUANGUGUUGNCGACAUUCCNCGUCGUUCGGNGCCGCACNNACCCAUAANUUNCCCCCUGGGANUUCNGNCNNANGNNNAAAUNAAAGAAUUGACGGGGCCCCCNAACGGCGAANUNUGGGUUAAUNAACCNCCCNAAA
This 917-nucleotide ribosomal RNA is filed under the name Streptomyces sp. LK1322.4. RNAcentral describes it as "partial 16S ribosomal RNA". It matches the Rfam family "Bacterial small subunit ribosomal RNA", at positions 26 to 967 of the family's 1533-position model. Lineage: Bacteria; Bacillati; Actinomycetota; Actinomycetes; Kitasatosporales; Streptomycetaceae. The record is from RNAcentral.